RNAcentral lists this unclassified non-coding RNA (240 nucleotides) under soil metagenome. RNAcentral's name for it is "partial contains 5.8S ribosomal RNA, internal transcribed spacer 2, and large subunit ribosomal RNA". The record is from RNAcentral.
AAGACUAUAGACCUGCGGAGUACCUGCGGAAGGAUCAUUACCGAGUUCUCGCCCCUCGCGGGGUAGACCUCCCACCCACUGUGAUCACUACCGUCGUUGCUUUGGCGGGCCGCUGGGCCCAGCCCACCGCCGGCUCCGGCUGGCGCGUGCCCGCCAGAGGCCCUACAAACGCUGGAUAUCAGUGCCGUCUGAGUACACAUGUUAAUCGUUAAAACUUUCAGCAAUGGAUCUCUAGAUCGG